CAUUUGGAACCGCAUGGUUCUAAAGUGAAAGAUGGUUUUGCUAUCACUUAUAGAUGGACCCGCGCCGUAUUAGCUAGUUGGUAAGGUAACGGCUUACCAAGGCGACGAUACGUAGCCGACCUGAGAGGGUGAUCGGCCACACUGGAACUGAGACACGGUCCAGACUCCUACGGGAGGCAGCAGUAGGGAAUCUUCCGCAAUGGGCGAAAGCCUGACGGAGCAACGCCGCGUGAGUGAUGAAGGGUUUCGGCUCGUAAAACUCUGUUAUUAGGGAAGAACAAAUGUGUAAGUAACUGUGCACGUCUUGACGGUACCUAAUCAGAAAGCCACGGCUAACUACGUGCCAGCAGCCGCGGUAAUACGUAGGUGGCAAGCGUUAUCCGGAAUUAUUGGGCGUAAAGCGCGCGUAGGCGGUUUCUUAAGUCUGAUGUGAAAGCCCACGGCUCAACCGUGGAGGGUCAUUGGAAACUGGGAAACUUGAGUGCAGAAGAGGAAAGUGGAAUUCCAUGUGUAGCGGUGAAAUGCGCAGAGAUAUGGAGGAACACCAGUGGCGAAGGCGACUUUCUGGUCUGUAACUGACGCUGAUGUGCGAAAGCGUGGGGAUCAAACAGGAUUAGAUACCCUGGUAGUCCACGCCGUAAACGAUGAGUGCUAAGUGUUAGG
RNAcentral lists this ribosomal RNA (663 nucleotides) under Staphylococcus saprophyticus. RNAcentral's name for it is "bacterial SSU rRNA". It matches the Rfam family "Bacterial small subunit ribosomal RNA", at positions 173 to 827 of the family's 1533-position model. Lineage: Bacteria; Bacillati; Bacillota; Bacilli; Caryophanales; Staphylococcaceae. The record is from RNAcentral.